Oncorhynchus masou masou (cherry salmon) is the source of this 1645-nucleotide RNA transcript. It is a transcript of the gene named zinc finger protein 239-like, with no coding region annotated. The record is from RefSeq and is a predicted model, not a curated record. Lineage: Eukaryota; Metazoa; Chordata; Actinopteri; Salmoniformes; Salmonidae. The transcript is spliced from 3 exons.
GUCUGCCAUAAAACCUUAAAGAAGAACAAGAUGAGAGCAAAGCAGUUUAACUGUACUGUUGUAGCUGAAAACAUUUCAUAUCAUACAAAGGAACAGUAGCUUCCACAAUGGAUCGGGACAAAGCUAGCCUGUCCCCCUCCACCCCCCAGGAGUCCCCAGGUCAACUGCCUCUCCGUACUUUACUGCUGGUUCUGGUCGACUGCAGGAAAACACCGGGGCAGAGUGGAACUAAGAGACUGGAAGGAGAAGAGGAACAUGGAGAUGUGAUUUCAUUAAGUAAGAACCAUGGUGUGUGGAUUAGUCUGCUUCUGGGACAUCCCUAAUCGUUGCUCUCUCAGUGGGAGGGGCUUAUCAUCUGGGGAGCCUCAACAUCAUGAUGCUGACAAGAUAUGGAGUCUCUCCAUAUCAGAACACCUCAAGAAACACCAGCAUAGAGGUAUAGGGAAGAAACCUCACUACUGCUGCUCUGACUGUGGGAAGAGUUUUGCUAAACAGGACUUGACAAAUCAUGAGCAAAUUCACACUCUAGAGCAUGCAUCUAAAACCUUAAAAUCUCAUCAGAGAAUUAAUUCAGGGGAGGGACCUUAUACCUGCUUGGAUUGUGGGAAAUACUUAAACCAGUCAGGAGCCCAGACUAAACACAAACACACAGGAGAGAAGCCUUAUAGCUGUGUUCAGUGUGGGAAGAGCUUCAGUCAAUCAGGAAACCUGACUACACACCAACUCAUACACACAGGAGAGAAACCUUAUAGCUGUGAUGAGUGUGGGAAGAGUUUCAAUCAACCAGGAACCCUGACUGCACACCAACGCAUACACACAGGAGAGAAACCUUAUAGCUGUGAUCAGUGUGGGAAGAGCUUCAAUCAAUCAGGAUCCCUGACUCUACACCAACGCAUACAUACAGGAGAGAAGCCUUAUAGCUGUGUUCAGUGUGGGAAGAGUUUUGCUCGUUCAGGGUCACUGAUAAAACACCAGAAAGCACAAACAUGUUUUCUUUCAUCUCCCUUCUCUCUGGCACCAGUUCCAAAUCCCUAAAUAAAGUUUACAUAGAAAACAUCUUGUAAACAGUCAUCCAUCUCCCAUUCUCUAACACUUUACUAAGUCUGAUUGCCAUGCUAACAUGUGUAGCAUAAUAUGCAGCUAUGGAUCCGUAUGUAACAAGCGUCUUGGAGUAGAAGUGCUGUGUGUGUGGUGGGGUGGGGGAGGAGGUGUUCAGAGCUAUAUCUUUUAUUUUAUGAACUCAUAUUAUCCAUUAAAUAAUGUAUAAUAAAAUGUUAAACCAAUGGUAGGUGUAUAUUCAUGUGUGGGGGAAAUGUUAUCUGAAGAGAGAGUCUUUGCAUUGUACAUCAUGUCUCAUACAGUCUUUGCUUCCUGUAGGUGCUGGGUAGAGAUAUGAGGGGGAGACGGUCAUGACCCCCUCAUACCUUUUGGCAGAACACUCAGAAUAUGUUCUAUAAGUUGCAUGCAGGAACCAAAUGUUAAUGAUGAUUAAUGUAAAUCAAGCAAAUAUAACUUGUCUGUGUAAGCAGUAUAUAAGAGGACUAACGGGACUGCCCCGAAAGAGCUCCUGACCGACGUGUACUAUGGUGCAGUAAGUUUGUUGGAAUCUCUCCAGCUGGCUGAUAAUAAAUAAUUAUUAAUUUAA